GGGGCUGAUAUGGAUUCGACGGGAUAUACGAAACCCAAGGUGCAUGCCGAGGUGAGGCUGGCCUCGUAAAAAGCCUCAACUUUAUAGUUGCAAACGACGACAACUACGCUCUAGCGGCUUAAUAACCCGCUGUGCCUGCCCCCCAGCGCUUUGUCUAUGAGACUGGAUCAGGGCAGCUAACCCUAAAGUAGACUCGCGUGGAUGCUUCGCCCGGAGCUGAAGCGUUAAAACCAAUCGGGCUCGUUAGUGCUGAAGCCUGUUAGUUGGCGUCACACUGAUUAACUAAAUAACUGACUAAGCAUGUAGUACCGAGGAUGUAGGUAUUGCGGACGGGGGUUCAACUCCCCCCAGCUCCACCA
This is a non-coding RNA of 359 nucleotides. It matches the Rfam family "transfer-messenger RNA". From Rfam's summary of the family: Bacterial tmRNA, also known as 10Sa RNA or SsrA, is named for its dual tRNA and mRNA-like properties. The record is from Rfam.